AGAGUUUGAUCCUGGCUCAGAUUGAACGCUGGCGGCAUGCUUUACACAUGCAAGUCGAACGGCAGCACGGGUGCUUGCACCUGGUGGCGAGUGGCGAACGGGUGAGUAAUGCACCGGAACGUACCCAGUAAUGGGGGAUAACACAUCGAAAGAUGUGCUAAUACCGCAUACGCCCUGAGGGGGAAAGCGGGGGAUCGUAAGACCUCGCGUUAUUGGAGCGGCCGAUGCCGGAUUAGCUAGUUGGUGAGGUAAGAGCUCACCAAGGCGACGAUCCGUAGCUGGUCUGAGAGGACGACCAGCCACACUGGGACUGAGACACGGCCCAGACUCCUACGGGAGGCAGCAGUGGGGAAUUUUGGACAAUGGGCGCAAGCCUGAUCCAGCCAUGCCGCGUGAGUGAAGAAGGCCUUCGGGUUGUAAAGCUCUUUCGCAAGGAAAGAAAUCUUAUCU
RNAcentral lists this ribosomal RNA (450 nucleotides) under uncultured bacterium. RNAcentral describes it as "bacterial SSU rRNA". It matches the Rfam family "Bacterial small subunit ribosomal RNA", at positions 8 to 458 of the family's 1533-position model. The record is from RNAcentral.